GUUCAGCUGACGAGUCCCAAAUAGGACGAAACGUGCGUCCUGCAU
Schistosoma curassoni is the source of this 45-nucleotide non-coding RNA. NCBI's taxonomy places the organism in Eukaryota, Metazoa, Platyhelminthes, Trematoda, Strigeidida, Schistosomatidae. The record is from Rfam.